Molecule: non-coding RNA, 147 nt
Filed under: Burkholderia pseudomallei 406e
Lineage: Bacteria; Pseudomonadati; Pseudomonadota; Betaproteobacteria; Burkholderiales; Burkholderiaceae
Description: radC RNA
Rfam family: radC RNA
Source: RNAcentral
AUGGUGCAUCCGUACGCGGUCGAUCCCCUCGACCUGUGCCCAGGCAGCCGAUGGUCUUCAAGGCUGCGCUGCGUGUCAUCGCAGUGACUGCGCCAGUCCGCUUCGCAUCGCUCGCCGCGGACGCUCAUCCCCACCGGAUGACGAUGC